Molecule: transfer RNA, 68 nt
Filed under: Persicaria microcephala
Lineage: Eukaryota; Viridiplantae; Streptophyta; Magnoliopsida; Caryophyllales; Polygonaceae
Description: partial tRNA-Phe
Source: RNAcentral
GGGAAGGGUCGGGAUAGCUCAGUGUAGAGAAGAGACUGCAAAUCUCUACCCCAUUUAUAUAAAUAAAA